Long non-coding RNA from Sorex araneus (European shrew), 611 nucleotides. RefSeq lists it as uncharacterized. The transcript has 3 exons. Lineage: Eukaryota; Metazoa; Chordata; Mammalia; Eulipotyphla; Soricidae. The record is from RefSeq and is a predicted model, not a curated record.
CGAGAGGUAUGAAGUGUUGAAGGAUCUAAAGCUGAGAAGGGCGGUCAAUAGAGAAGCCAGAUGGAGCCUCUGAAUGCCACCGGCUUGGAAAGGACUUGGGAGAGAGCUGGCUGGGAAGCGCCUUAACUUUGGGACAGACUCACAGAAGGGCCAUUGCAAAGCUGGGAGAAGUGUGAAUCUUCAGUGGUCUGAUCCUAUUGGUGGCUUAGAGUCUUCCCUGCAGUCACCGAGGCUCACAACAUGGGCUCAGAGGACCUUAUCAGAGAUCAAACUUGGCUCAGCUGUGUGCAAGAAUUAUGAUUUAGAGAGAAGAGGAACACAGCUGUCCCAUGUUUAACAGCCACAGUGAAACUCAAUUGCAACAUGGACCAAUACAAUAAGAAAUAUUUGGGCACAGGAGAUGACUCAAAUAACUGGAAGAUAAGCUUUUCAUGUGCAAAGCCUGUGCUGAAAGAGAGAGAGAGAGAGAGAGAGAGAGAGAGAGAGAAAGAGAGAGAGAGAAAGAGAGAGAGAGAAAGAGAGGGAGCUUUCUGUACUCAUCAUUCAAAUUUACUGGAAACAUUAUUGCUCUAAAAAUAAAGUUGAUUAAUGAGAAAAUAAUUAUUGCUAUG